UGAUCAUAAUAACUUAACGAAUCGCAUGGCCUUGUGCCGGCGAUGGUUCAUUCAAAUUUCUGCCCUAUCAACUUUCGAUGGUAGAGUAGUGGUCUACCAUGGUUUCAACGGGUAACGGGGAAUUAGGGUUCUAUUCCGGAGAGGGAGCCUGAGAAACGGCUACCACAUCCAAGGAAGGCAGCAGGCGCGCAAAUUACCCAAUCCCGACACGGGGAGGUAGUGACAAUAAACACUGAUACAGGGCUCUUUUGGGUCUUGUAAUUGGAAUGAGUACAAUUUAAAUCCCUUAACGAGGAACAAUUGGAGGGCAAGUCUGGUGCCAGCAGCCGCGGUAAUUCCAGCUCCAAUAGCGUAUAUUAAAGUUGUUGCAGUUAAAAAGCUCGUAGUUGAACCUUGGGCCUGGCUGGCCGGUCCGCCUCACCGCGUGCACUGGUCCGGCCGGGCCUUUCCUUCUGGGGAGCCGCAUGCCCUUCACUGGGUGUGUCGGGGAACCAGGACUUUUACUUUGAAAAAAUUAGAGUGUUCAAAGCAGGCCUAUGCUCGAAUACAUUAGCAUGGAAUAAUAGAAUAGGACGUGUGGUUCUAUU
This 587-nucleotide ribosomal RNA is filed under the name uncultured fungus. RNAcentral describes it as "SSU rRNA". It matches the Rfam family "Eukaryotic small subunit ribosomal RNA", at positions 248 to 841 of the family's 1831-position model. The record is from RNAcentral. Lineage: Eukaryota; Fungi.